ACACAAUUUGUGCAGAGCCUCACAGGAGAGGAGCUCUGUAGUAGAGAUAGGGAAGAUUUGAAGAGAAGUUUGUUUUGGUUCUUCUUUUUAGUGGAGAGUCCCGCGGGAAUUGGUGUGCCAACUGCACCCACACUCUGCCACAUCAAUG
Caenorhabditis elegans is the source of this 148-nucleotide non-coding RNA. NCBI's taxonomy places the organism in Eukaryota, Metazoa, Nematoda, Chromadorea, Rhabditida, Rhabditidae. The record is from Ensembl.